AUACGAAGGGGGCUAGCGUUGUUCGGAAUUACUGGGCGUAAAGCGUACGUAGGCGGAUUGUUAAGUGAGGGGUGAAAUCCCGAGGCUCAACCUCGGAACUGCCUUUCAUACUGGCAAUCUUGAGUCCGGGAGAGGUGAGUGGAACUCCUAGUGUAGAGGUGAAAUUCGUAGAUAUUAGGAAGAACACCAGUGGCGAAGGCGGCUCACUGGCCCGGAACUGACGCUGAGGUACGAAAGCGUGGGGAGCAAACAGGAUUAGAUACCCUGGUAGUCCACGCCGUAAACGAUGGAUGCUAGCCGUCGGGGAGCUUGCUCUUCGGUGGCGCAGCUAACGCAUUAAGCAUCCCGCCUGGGGAGUACGGUCGCAAGAUUAAA
This 375-nucleotide ribosomal RNA is filed under the name uncultured bacterium. RNAcentral's name for it is "bacterial SSU rRNA". It matches the Rfam family "Bacterial small subunit ribosomal RNA", at positions 523 to 898 of the family's 1533-position model. The record is from RNAcentral.